GCGCCCGUAGCUAAGUUGGCAGAUCGGUGGAACGGUGAUCCACAGUCCCGGGUUCAAGUCCCGGCGGUCGCU
Phthorimaea operculella (potato tuberworm) is the source of this 72-nucleotide non-coding RNA. The record is from the annotation of a GenBank genome assembly. Lineage: Eukaryota; Metazoa; Arthropoda; Insecta; Lepidoptera; Gelechiidae.